Molecule: ribosomal RNA, 468 nt
Filed under: uncultured bacterium
Lineage: Bacteria
Description: partial 16S ribosomal RNA
Rfam family: Bacterial small subunit ribosomal RNA
Source: RNAcentral
GACGAACGCUGGCGGCGUGCUUAACACAUGCAAGUCGAACGGAAAGGCCCUGCGUUUGUGGGGUGCUCGAGUGGCGAACGGGUGAGUAACACGUGAGUAACCUGCCCUUGACUUUGGGAUAACUUCAGGAAACUGGGGCUAAUACCGGAUAGGAGCUCCUGCUGCAUGGUGGGGGUUGGAAAGUUUCGGCGGUUGGGGAUGGACUCGCGGCUUAUCAGCUUGUUGGUGGGGUAGUGGCUUACCAAGGCUUUGCCGGGUAGCCGGCCUGAGAGGGUGACCGGCCACAUUGGGACUGAGAUACGGCCCAGACUCCUACGGGAGGCAGCAGUGGGGAAUAUUGCACAAUGGGCGGAAGCCUGAUGCAGCAACGCCGCGGGCGGGAUGACGGCCUUCGGGUUGUAAACCGCUUUCGCCGGUGACGAAGCGUGAGUGACGGUAAUGGGUAAAGAAGCACCGGCUAACUACGUG